RNAcentral lists this transfer RNA (71 nucleotides) under Marmota monax (woodchuck). Its description in RNAcentral is "tRNA.Ala". It matches the Rfam family "tRNA". Rfam says of the family: Transfer RNA (tRNA) molecules are approximately 80 nucleotides in length. The record is from RNAcentral. Lineage: Eukaryota; Metazoa; Chordata; Mammalia; Rodentia; Sciuridae.
GGGGUUGUGGCUUAGUGGUAGAGCGCUUGCCUAGCAUGUAUGAGGCACUGGGUUCAAUCCUCAGCACCACA